Molecule: non-coding RNA, 425 nt
Organism: Neolamprologus brichardi
Lineage: Eukaryota; Metazoa; Chordata; Actinopteri; Cichliformes; Cichlidae
Source: RefSeq, a predicted model, not a curated record
GGUUGCCGUGGUCUCAGUGGUCUGAGUGCUCGGUCAGCUGCGGUGGAGGGCAGCAGUACCACUCUCACGUCUGCAGCUCUCCAGCGUGCAGCGGCCUCAGUCGUCAGAGCAAGAUCUGCAACACCCACGUCUGCCUCGAGGUGGGCUGCCCUCCUGGCCGGCUGUACAGGGAGUGUGAACGAGGAGAAGGUUGUCCUUUCAGCUGCGCUCAGGUCAGCGGCAGGGAGGGAUGCUACGCUGACGGCUGCGAGGAAGGCUGCCACUGUCCCGUGCACACCUACCAGCACCGUGGACUCUGCUUAUCGGAGUGUCCGUGUCUGGUGGAUAAAGAGCUGCUGGCCUCUCUGCAGAGCGUCUCCGUGACACCAGUCGCAUCCCUGCUUUUUCAUAACAUCUCAGAGGAUGUGGAGCUCCAGUCUGGAGAU